UGGUAACCUUGUUCAUUUUCAUUUUAUUUUUGAUAAUUACUUCAGCAAAUAAGGACAAUUUCGUCCAAUCAAGUCCAAGAACUAGCCAAAGGCUUAAACAACGGCGAGUGAGAGUGUGACACCGCUGGGAUGAUGUAGCAGAGGCCAGUCCACGCUAAAACCAUGGCUCUAUAGCGCUUCUGUUUUAUCUGCAUCGACAAAACUAGGCCAUGGGCUUUGCAAUGGGAAGCUCACACCUGUUACAAUCUUAUUUUCCCUCCUCUUCUUCUUCUACUUUCUCCUCUUCUCAUUCCCAUUCUGUUUUUUUCCAUGUCAAGAGCUGUAAUGGGAAGACCAAGAUAAAGAAGAGGGCAAUUACUGUUGCUUGUACUCGCCAAGAAGAUCAAUACGAUAUCGUUUUUAGCAAGAAGAGAGCGGUUCUCUUCGUGGGUAUUUCGAUUCUUCCCUUCUUGCUACUUAGAGCCAGAGCUCUUGGAGGUUCACUUACAAAAGAAAGUGAGCUCAAGACACUUGAAGAUAACAAAAAAGAAGGGGCUGCAAUUCAAAGAUAUACACCACCAAAUCCCUUCUUGUCUGUCCUGAAUGGACUUGGUAUAUUUGGUACGGGUGUGCUUGGUGCACUCUUUGCAUUGACUAAGAAAGAGAAAAAAGCCACUGAAACAGCAAUAGAAUCUAUGACAGCCAAACUGAAAGAGAAGGAAGCUGCCAUUGUGUCCUUAGAGAAGAACUUUGAGUCAAAGCUAUUGAAUGAACAGGAAGAAUGGACAAAGCAACUCAGAAAGGCAAAGGAUGAACAAUUGGUUCUUGUGAACCAACUACAAUCGGCUAACACUACAAUUAAAGGGCUAGGACAGGAGCUGAAAAAUGAGAAAAGAAUAGUUGACGAGCUCAAAGUUCAAAUAGAUGGUCUAGAAACCAGCCUUUCAAAGGCUGAGGAAGAUAAGAAAGCUCAUGAACAAGAACUAAAGGAAAAACUCAAUUCAAUUGAAGUCUUACAAGAUAAGACUAACUUGCUUAGUUUAGAGCUCAAGGAUAAGGAAGAUAAUGCUCAACAUCUCAUCUCUUCACUUGCUGGGAAGGAACUGGAAUUGAAGAACUUGAAUUCUACCUACAAGGAAACAAAAGAUGAACUGGCCAAGGCACACACAGAAAUCAAAGCAUUGAAAGAUGAACUUCAGAGAAAUGGAAAGGAACUGGAAUUGAAGAAUUCUUUGGUGGAUGAAUUAAAUUUGACAGUGAGUUCUUUAAUCAUUGAGAGGGAUGAUUCUAACAAGAAACUUGAUGCUGUUCAGGAGCAAUUCAGUGAUCUGAAGUCAUCCUCUGAAAAGAAGGCUGCUUUGGAUGCUAAGUUGUUGGCAGAAAAAGAAGAUGAGCUUCACCAACUAAAGGAGAAGCUUGAGCUUGCUCAGAAUGAAGUGAGCAGAAACCAAGCCAUGAUUACAGAUUUGACACAGGAAAAGGAAGAUUUGAGAAAAAUCCUUGAUACAGAAUUGAACAAUGUAACGAAUCUGAAACAUGAACUUCAAAGCACUCGGGAAGAUCUUGGAAAGCUGAGAAAUGAGGCUUCUGAUGUGGCAAAAGAACUCAAGCUGUCAAGAAAUAGGUGCACUGAGCUUGAGGCUGAGGUUUCUAGAGUUCAGGCUGAGUUUGCUGAAGCUACAGAAACAAUGCUGAAGAGCCUUGAGAAGGUGAAACAAAGUAGUGAAGUGUUAGCUAAGGAGAUUGUAGCAGUGAAGGAACAAUUGAGGAAAACCACAGUGGAGCUGCAAUUAAUGUCCCGUGAACUGGCAGCUGUUACAGAAAAUCGUGAUAGUUUGCAGAAGGAAUUAGUCGAUGUCUGUAAGAAAGCUGAAGUCACAGCCAAUGAACUAAGAGAAGAGAAAAAAAUUAGUUUCUUCUCUGAACAAAGAGCUACAAAGCCUGGAGAAUCAAAUAUUGAAGGACAAUGGGGCAAGAAAAUCUUUUGAAACAGAUCUAGAAGAGGCUACUAAAUCACUAGAUGAGAUGAAUCGAAAUGCAUUGAUACUUUCUGGGGAGUUAGAGAUAGCCAAUUCUAGGAUCUCUGACCUUGAAGAUGAGAAACAGGUGCUCUACAAGUCCCUAACAGAGCAGAAGAAUGCAUCUAAAGAGGCCCAAGAGAAUAUGGAAGAUGCCCAUAACAUCGUCUUGAGGCUUGGAAAGGAAAGGGAGAGUUUGGAGAAGAAGGCAAAGAAACUUGAAGAAGAGUUGGCCUCUGCCAAGGGUGAAAUAUUACGAUUAAGGAGUAAGAUAAAUUCCUCAAAAGCUCCAGAAAAAGAGCAUCAAUCUCAGAAAGGUGAAGCUGAAGACAACGUCACUGUUACUGCAAAGAGAACUGGCAGAAGAAGAAGAGCUAGCUCCCAAUGAAGUAUUGUAUUACACGAACUGCCAAUAUUAAUAUCUGAUUAGUUUAUAUUCUAAAUUGUUUUGCUGUUAUCAUCCUUCAAACAAUAUAUUUUUAGGUUUUCAUCCAUUUCUUCAGUGGAGAUUUUCUCCAUGCCAAUGUAUUGUAUAGAUGGGAUCUCGAGGCAUAAAAAUGAGGAAAUCCUUGUUCGUAAUUUUUCGCAUGGUGUUUGUUUUAAGAAUAUUAGAUCAGAUUCACAAUCUUUUUCUGGAAAGGUU
Molecule: unclassified non-coding RNA, 2640 nt
Filed under: Hevea brasiliensis (rubber tree)
Lineage: Eukaryota; Viridiplantae; Streptophyta; Magnoliopsida; Malpighiales; Euphorbiaceae
Source: RNAcentral